AUUGAACGCUGGCGGCAUGCCUUACACAUGCAAGUCGAACGGCAGCACGGAGCUUGCUCUGGUGGCGAGUGGCGAACGGGUGAGUAAUAUAUCGGAACGUACCCUAGAGUGGGGGAUAACGUAGCGAAAGUUACGCUAAUACCGCAUACGAUCUAAGGAUGAAAGUGGGGGAUCGCAAGACCUCAUGCUCGUGGAGCGGCCGAUAUCUGAUUAGCUAGUUGGUAGGGUAAAAGCCUACCAAGGCAUCGAUCAGUAGCUGGUCUGAGAGGACGACCAGCCACACUGGAACUGAGACACGGUCCAGACUCCUACGGGAGGCAGCAGUGGGGAAUUUUGGACAAUGGGCGAAAGCCUGAUCCAGCAAUGCCGCGUGAGUGAAGAAGGCCUUCGGGUUGUAAAGCUCUUUUGUCAGGGAAGAAACGGUGAAAGCUAAUAUCUUUUGCUAAUGACGGUACCUGAAGAAUAAGCACCGGCUAACUACGUGCCAGCAGCCGCGGUAAUACGUAGGGUGCAAGCGUUAAUCGGAAUUACUGGGCGUAAAGCGUGCGCAGGCGGUUUUGUAAGUCUGAUGUGAAAUCCCCGGGCUCAACCUGGGAAUUGCAUUGGAGACUGCAAGGCUAGAAUCUGGCAGAGGGGGGUAGAAUUCCACGUGUAGCAGUGAAAUGCGUAGAUAUGUGGAGGAACACCGAUGGCGAAGGCAGCCCCCUGGGUCAAGAUUGACGCUCAUGCACGAAAGCGUGGGGAGCAAACAGGAUUAGAUACCCUGGUAGUCCACGCCCUAAACGAUGUCUACUAGUUGUCGGGUCUUAAUUGACUUGGUAACGCAGCUAACGCGUGAAGUAGACCGCCUGGGGAGUACGGUCGCAAGAUUAAAACUCAAAGGAAUUGACGGGGACCCGCACAAGCGGUGGAUGAUGUGGAUUAAUUCGAUGCAACGCGAAAAACCUUACCUACCCUUGACAUGGCUGGAAUCCCGGAGAGAUUUGGGAGUGCUCGAAAGAGAACCAGUACACAGGUGCUGCAUGGCUGUCGUCAGCUCGUGUCGUGAGAUGUUGGGUUAAGUCCCGCAACGAGCGCAACCCUUGUCAUUAGUUGCUACGAAAGGGCACUCUAAUGAGACUGCCGGUGACAAACCGGAGGAAGGUGGGGAUGACGUCAAGUCCUCAUGGCCCUUAUGGGUAGGGCUUCACACGUCAUACAAUGGUACAUACAGAGCGCCGCCAACCCGCGAGGGGGAGCUAAUCGCAGAAAGUGUAUCGUAGUCCGGAUUGUAGUCUGCAACUCGACUGCAUGAGGUUGGAAUCGCUAGUAAUCGCGGAUCAGCAUGUCGCGGUGAAUACGUUCCCGGGUCU
Molecule: ribosomal RNA, 1352 nt
Filed under: uncultured bacterium
Lineage: Bacteria
Description: bacterial SSU rRNA
Rfam family: Bacterial small subunit ribosomal RNA
Source: RNAcentral